RNAcentral lists this ribosomal RNA (262 nucleotides) under uncultured bacterium. RNAcentral's name for it is "partial 16S ribosomal RNA". It matches the Rfam family "Bacterial small subunit ribosomal RNA", at positions 793 to 1055 of the family's 1533-position model. The record is from RNAcentral.
GUCCACGCCGUAAACGAUGAAUGUUAGCAGUCGGGGUGUAUACACUUCGGUGGCGCAGCUAACGCAUUAAACAUUCCGCCUGGGGAGUACGGUCGCAAGAUUAAAACUCAAAGGAAUUGACGGGGGCCCGCACAAGCGGUGGAGCAUGUGGUUUAAUUCGAUGCAACGCGAAGAACCUUACCUACUCUUGACAUCCAGAGAACUUAGCAGAGAUGCUUUGGUGCCUUCGGGAACUCUGAGACAGGUGCUGCAUGGCUGUCGU